GGUCUCGUAGUUCAACGGAUAGAAUAGAAGUUUCCUAAACUUUUGAUUCGGGUUCGAUUCCCGACGAGACUA
Molecule: transfer RNA, 72 nt
Filed under: Tannerellaceae bacterium
Lineage: Bacteria; Pseudomonadati; Bacteroidota; Bacteroidia; Bacteroidales; Tannerellaceae
Description: tRNA-Arg
Rfam family: tRNA
About the family: Transfer RNA (tRNA) molecules are approximately 80 nucleotides in length. Their secondary structure includes four short double-helical elements and three loops (D, anti-codon, and T loops).
Source: RNAcentral